GCAUCGGUGGUUGAGUGGUAGAAUUCUCGACUGCCACGCGGGAGGCCCGGGUUCGAUUCCCGGCCGAUGCA
Molecule: transfer RNA, 71 nt
Filed under: Penaeus japonicus
Lineage: Eukaryota; Metazoa; Arthropoda; Malacostraca; Decapoda; Penaeidae
Description: tRNA-Gly
Rfam family: tRNA
About the family: Transfer RNA (tRNA) molecules are approximately 80 nucleotides in length. Their secondary structure includes four short double-helical elements and three loops (D, anti-codon, and T loops). Further hydrogen bonds mediate the characteristic L-shaped molecular structure. tRNAs have two regions of fundamental functional importance: the anti-codon, which is responsible for specific mRNA codon recognition, and the 3' end, to which the tRNAs corresponding amino acid is attached (by aminoacyl-tRNA synthetases). tRNAs cope with the degeneracy of the genetic code in two manners: having more than one tRNA (with a specific anti-codon) for a particular amino acid; and 'wobble' base-pairing, i.e. permitting non-standard base-pairing at the 3rd anti-codon position.
Source: RNAcentral